Esox lucius (northern pike) is the source of this 399-nucleotide long non-coding RNA. Lineage: Eukaryota; Metazoa; Chordata; Actinopteri; Esociformes; Esocidae. The record is from Ensembl.
GUGGGAGACGUUUUAUAUGCGUUACUAAUCUAUUUCUAAUGGAUUUUCUUCUCGACACAGAAAUCAAGAGAUAACAAUUUAUUGUCUGCGGAUCGUUGACGUGGAGUUUAGAAAAGAGAUCCUAUCCUACCGGCGUUGCUCUACCAGCCGGCCAUCAAGUGGCUCGAUAGGGAAAUGCAGUACACUUGGGGCCUGUAUUUGGAAUAAGAAAGCCUUGCUGUUUUCUGACUGGAGAGAAGGAAGAUAAGACUCCUCUGGAUUUCCUAAGGAAUUUUGUCUGGACGCUUUGUUACCGUGGCUAUUGAAUUCAUCAGCUGGGGUAUAUAUGUGCACCAGGGCCUCCCGCUCCUUCUAUUCCGGUUAGAGCCAGUUUCCAGUAUUCUGUGAAGGGAGUCGUAC